This is a long non-coding RNA of Amphiprion ocellaris (clown anemonefish), 638 nucleotides long. RefSeq lists it as uncharacterized. Lineage: Eukaryota; Metazoa; Chordata; Actinopteri; Pomacentridae. The record is from RefSeq and is a predicted model, not a curated record. The transcript is spliced from 4 exons.
UCAGGUCCUCGGAAAUCCUGUGAACAAAACUCCUGAUAAUUCUGCUGCAUGGUGACCUUAUCAAGGACUCAGCACAGUUAUGUCAGUUUUCCUCUGACAGACUUUCUCACAAGAUGGACUCAGACUGCUGCCCUGUUGAUCAGUCAGCCUCUGCACCCACAGCGUCCACACUGUCAGACUCAGUCCCUGCUAAUGCAGUCUCUGAGGUUGAGGUCAGCAGUCUGACAGUAUCAGCUCCUCCAGGUUGAGAGGCAGAGGAUGUGGAUACCUACAACCCGGUUGAGCCUGCUGCAGAGAGCGAGCAGAGUGCUGAUGAACAACCUUCAUAUAAAAACAUGCCUGGUCCUUGUGACCCUGAAGACUUGUUGGAUGGAGUCAUAUUUGGUGCCAAAUAUUUGGGCUCCACUCAGAUCAAAUCAGAGAAGAACCCAUGGACUAACGCUCGCAUGGCCCAGGCUCAGGAGGCCGUGGACCGAAUAAAGGCUCCAGAAGGAGAAUCUCAGCCAAUGACAGAAGUGGAUCUUUCAUGUCCACUCAGCGAAUCAAAAUGCUCACUGCUGACACACAGGUACUGUCAGCUCACCACUUAAAUUUAGUCUUUUCUGUUGCCUGUUGCUCACUUUUAUAAUUGCAUUAUC